RNAcentral lists this ribosomal RNA (439 nucleotides) under uncultured bacterium. RNAcentral's name for it is "partial 16S ribosomal RNA". It matches the Rfam family "Bacterial small subunit ribosomal RNA", at positions 338 to 795 of the family's 1533-position model. The record is from RNAcentral.
CCUACGGGUGGCAGCAGUGGGGGAUAUUGCACAAUGGGCGAAAGCCUGAUGCAGCGACGCCGCGUGAGGGAAGACGGUCUUCGGAUUGUAAACCUCUGUCUUUGGGGAAGAAAAUGACGGUACCCAAAUAGGAAGCUCCGGCUAACUACGUGCCAGCAGCCGCGGUAUUACUUAGGGAGCAAGCGUUGUCCGGAAUUACGGGGUGUAAAGGGAGCGUAGGCGGGAUGGCAAGUAGAAUGUAAAAUCCAUCGGCUCAACCGGUUGGUGCGUUGUAAACUUCCGUUCUUGAGUGAAGUAGAGGCAGGCGGAAUUCCUAGUGUAGCGGUGAAAGGCGCAGAGAUUAGGAGGAACACCAGUGGCGAAGGCGGCCUGCUGGGCUUUAACUGACGCUGAGGCUCGAAAGCGUGGGGAGCAAACAGGAUUAGAUACCCCAGUAGUC